RNAcentral lists this ribosomal RNA (264 nucleotides) under uncultured archaeon. Its description in RNAcentral is "partial 16S ribosomal RNA". It matches the Rfam family "Archaeal small subunit ribosomal RNA", at positions 717 to 982 of the family's 1478-position model. The record is from RNAcentral.
AGACGUCUACAUUAGGUACCCGGGUAGUCCCAGCCGUAAACUAUGCGCGUUAGGUGUAUCGGUGACCACGAGUUACCGAGGUGCCGAAGGGAAACCGUGAAACGUGCCGCCUGGGAAGUACGGUCGCAAGGCUGAAACUUAAAGGAAUUGGCGGGGAGCACCACAACAGGUGGAGCCUGCGGUUUAAUUGGACUCAACGCCGGGAAGCUCACCGGAUAGGACAGCAGAAUGAUUGCCGGGCUGAAGACCCUGCAUGACUAGCUG